This 26-nucleotide small RNA is filed under the name Bombyx mori (domestic silkworm). RNAcentral's name for it is "ovarian small RNA-35597". The record is from RNAcentral. Lineage: Eukaryota; Metazoa; Arthropoda; Insecta; Lepidoptera; Bombycidae.
UGUCACGACUUGUAGGAGCGUCACGA